Molecule: ribosomal RNA, 643 nt
Filed under: uncultured bacterium
Lineage: Bacteria
Description: bacterial SSU rRNA
Rfam family: Bacterial small subunit ribosomal RNA
Source: RNAcentral
AGAGUUUGAUCCUGGCUCAGGACGAACGCUGGCGGUGUGCUUCACACAUGCAAGUCGAACGAGGUAGCAAUACCUAGUGGCGGACGGGUGAGUAACGCGUGGGAAUCUGCCCUUGGGUAGGGGAUAGCAGGCCGAAAGGCCUAUUAAUACCGUAUAUGCCGUGAGGUAAAAGGAGUAAUCCGCCCGAGGAUGAGCCUGCGUCCGAUUAGCUAGUUGGUGGGGUAAAAGCCUACCAAGGCUACGAUCGGUAGCUGGUCUGAGAGGAUGAUCAGCCACAAUGGGACUGAGACACGGCCCAUACUCCUACGGGAGGCAGCAGUGGGGAAUUUUACGCAAUGGGGGAAACCCUGACGUAGCGACACCGCGUGAGCGAAGAAGCCUUUUGGGGUGUAAAGCUCUGUCAGCAGGAACGAAUAAACGACGGUACCUGCAGAGGAAGCAUCGGCUAACUACGUGCCAGCAGCCGCGGUAAGACGUAGGAUGCGAGCGUUGUCCGGAUUCAUUGGGCGUAAAGAGUUCGUAGGCGGUUUGUUAAGUCUGAUGUUAAAGAUCAGGGCCCAACCCUGGGAGUGCAUUGGAUACUGGCAGACUUGAGUACAGUAGAGGCGAGUGGAAUUCCCAGUGUAGCGGUGAAAUGCGUAGA